UACGGGAGGCAGCAGUGGGGAAUAUUGCACAAUGGGCGCAAGCCUGAUGCAGCCAUGCCGCGUGUAUGAAGAAGGCCUUCGGGUUGUAAAGUACUUUCAGUCGUGAGGAAGGUGUUAAGGUUAAUAACCUUAGCAAUUGACGUUAGCGACAGAAGAAGCACCGGCUAACUCCGUGCCAGCAGCCGCGGUAAUACGGAGGGUGCGAGCGUUAAUCGGAAUUACUGGGCGUAAAGGGCACGCAGGCGGUUAAUUAAGUUGGAUGUGAAAUCCCCGGGCUUAACCUGGGAAUGGCAUUCAAGACUGGUUAGCUAGAGUCUUGUAGAGGGGGUAGAAUUCCAUGUGUAGCGGUGAAAUGCGUAGAGAUGUGGAGGAAUACCGGUGGCGAAGGCGGCCCCCUGGACAAAGGACUGACGCUCAUGUGCGAAAGCGUGGGGAGCAAACGAGGGAUUAGAUACC
This 456-nucleotide ribosomal RNA is filed under the name uncultured bacterium. Its description in RNAcentral is "bacterial SSU rRNA". It matches the Rfam family "Bacterial small subunit ribosomal RNA", at positions 340 to 786 of the family's 1533-position model. The record is from RNAcentral.